This 407-nucleotide ribosomal RNA is filed under the name uncultured bacterium. RNAcentral describes it as "partial 16S ribosomal RNA". It matches the Rfam family "Bacterial small subunit ribosomal RNA", at positions 30 to 526 of the family's 1533-position model. The record is from RNAcentral.
AUUGAACGCUAGCGGGAUGCCUUACACAUGCAAGUCGAACGGAUUGGCGAACGGGUGAGUAAUGUAUCGGAACGUGCCCAGUAGCGGGGGAUAACUACGCGAAAGCGUAGCUAAUACCGCAUACUAUUGGAGCGGCCGAUAUCGGGUUAGCUUGUUGUUGGUGUAACGGCGCACCAAGGCGACGAUCCGUAGCUGGUUUGAGGGGACGACCAGCCACACUGGGACUGAGACACGGCCCAGACUCCUACGGGAGGCAGCAGGGGGGAAUUUUGUACAAUGGGGGAAACCCGGAUCCAGCCAUCCCGCGUGUGCGAUGAAGGCCUUCGGGUUGUAAAGCACUUUUGGCAGGAAAGCGGUACCUGCAGAAUAAGUACCGGCUAACUACGUGACAGCAUCCGCGGUAAUAC